UGCCGCCAUAACUCAGCUGGUAGAGUGCCUGGCUGUUAACCAGGAUGUCACAGGUUCGAGCCCUGUUGGCGGCGUCCA
This 78-nucleotide transfer RNA is filed under the name uncultured archaeon. RNAcentral's name for it is "tRNA-Asn(gtt)". It matches the Rfam family "tRNA". From Rfam's summary of the family: Transfer RNA (tRNA) molecules are approximately 80 nucleotides in length. Their secondary structure includes four short double-helical elements and three loops (D, anti-codon, and T loops). Further hydrogen bonds mediate the characteristic L-shaped molecular structure. tRNAs have two regions of fundamental functional importance: the anti-codon, which is responsible for specific mRNA codon recognition, and the 3' end, to which the tRNAs corresponding amino acid is attached (by aminoacyl-tRNA synthetases). tRNAs cope with the degeneracy of the genetic code in two manners: having more than one tRNA (with a specific anti-codon) for a particular amino acid; and 'wobble' base-pairing, i.e. permitting non-standard base-pairing at the 3rd anti-codon position. The record is from RNAcentral.